CAGGAAAUGACUCAGCAGUACACGCGUCUACUCUGAGAGCCCCUGCCUGCAUCUCACAGAGAAAAUCAGGAACUCCAGCUGGCCUCACUGGCCAGCACAGAUUCUUCCGGAGACACCAAGCAGAGAGCGGCGGCAUGUGGCUGUCCAGGCAGAGCCCCGCGGCAGGCAGUGAGGCACUAGGACACUGGGACCCACGGCUACCAGAAUCACUCAGCCGGAGAAUCACAGGACAGCUGGCAUCCCUCCAUCACACAUGGAGGGCAGGGGCCGCUGAUUUCACCACUCAAAUCCACGUCCACAGUUUUUACGCAGAGAGACUCGUGUGAAAAUGGGAGCGUCUGCUGGCAGCCCGACCACCGCCUGCAGGCUGCAGACACUCCACGUGCAGAGCCCGGCCGGCCGGGCUGCCACCAGGUCAAGCGCCACUGAAGAUGGGGGGUGGGUACUACAGUGGUCUGUGCAGUGAUCAACACUGGCCCAUUCCAACACUAACCUGAUCUGAAGUCAGAUGCCCAGAUUAUCUCCACAUAACACACAGCUUCUCCCUCCCAAGGACGGGGUGUCUAAGCACGAACAUGAAGAACCAGGAAAAAGCCAGGUGUGACGCAACAAGGACUAGCACAAAAUAAGUAAUAACCGCAUUUACGCUUAAAAAUUCCACCCAGAGAGCAGCAGUGACGGGCUUCCUCAGGUCAGGGACCGCCCCCUCCUGUGAGAGAUGCGGAUGUGACAUUAGGAACCUGAGACUGGUCAGGGGCUGUCAGCCGCUGGGGCCUUAACACUUCCAGUUACCCAAUCUGCAAAAUCGACAGUCUACUGCCUAAACCUUAAUCAACGUGAAAUUCAAUCAUGUAACAUAAUACAACACUAUGUAAUGAUAAUAAUAAUUUAAAAGUA
Long non-coding RNA from Balaenoptera acutorostrata (minke whale), 897 nucleotides. RefSeq lists it as uncharacterized. NCBI's taxonomy places the organism in Eukaryota, Metazoa, Chordata, Mammalia, Artiodactyla, Balaenopteridae. The transcript is spliced from 2 exons. The record is from RefSeq and is a predicted model, not a curated record.